This 57-nucleotide ribosomal RNA is filed under the name Nectria sp. DSFN 1014. RNAcentral's name for it is "partial 18S ribosomal RNA". It matches the Rfam family "Eukaryotic small subunit ribosomal RNA". Lineage: Eukaryota; Fungi; Ascomycota; Sordariomycetes; Hypocreales; Nectriaceae. The record is from RNAcentral.
GGAAGUAAAAAGUCGUAACAAGGUCUCCGUUGGUGAACCCAGCGGAGGGAUCAUUAC